Molecule: ribosomal RNA, 234 nt
Filed under: Halomonas gemina
Lineage: Bacteria; Pseudomonadati; Pseudomonadota; Gammaproteobacteria; Oceanospirillales; Halomonadaceae
Description: partial 23S ribosomal RNA
Rfam family: Bacterial large subunit ribosomal RNA
Source: RNAcentral
GUGGACGCACCUCUGGUGUUCCGGUUGUCACGCCAGUGGCAUUGCCGGGUAGCUAUGUGCGGACGGGAUAACCGCUGAAAGCAUCUAAGCGGGAAGCCCCCUUCAAGAUGAGACAUCCCCGAGGCCUCGAGCCUCCUGAAGGGCCCAGCGAGACCAGCUGGUUGAUAGGCCGGGUGUGGAAGCGCUGCAAGGCGUUGAGCUAACCGGUACUAAUGGCCCGUGAGGCUUGACCAU